This 433-nucleotide ribosomal RNA is filed under the name uncultured bacterium. Its description in RNAcentral is "partial 16S ribosomal RNA". It matches the Rfam family "Bacterial small subunit ribosomal RNA", at positions 29 to 507 of the family's 1533-position model. The record is from RNAcentral.
AGCGAACGCUGGCGGCAGGCCUAACACAUGCAAGUCGAACGAACUCUUCGGAGUUAGUGGCGGACGGGUGAGUAACACGUGGGAACGUGCCUUUUGGUUCGGAAUAACUCAGGGAAACUUGUGCUAAUACCGAAUGUUCCCUUCGGGGGAAAGAUUUAUCGCCAUUAGAGCGGCCCGCGUCUGAUUAGCUAGUUGGUGAGGUAACGGCUCACCAAGGCGACGAUCAGUAGCUGGUCUGAGAGGAUGACCAGCCACACUGGGACUGAGACACGGCCCAGACUCCUACGGGAGGCAGCAGUGGGGAAUCUUGCGCAAUGGGCGAAAGCCUGACGCAGCCAUGCCGCGUGAAUGAUGAAGGUCUUAGGAUUGUAAAAUUCUUUCACCGGGGACGAGAAUGACGGUACCCGGAGAAGAAGCCCCGGCUAACUUCGUG